CUGCUGGUUAGGCCUAAUUAAACUAAGAGGAUUAACGAAAUACGUCAUAUCCUAUCCCAGCUGCCCGUGCGGCACUACAGUGAAAAGAGGAAAGCGCAGUGGCAGGAAAAGAAAUCAAUCUGAGGUUGGAAAGAGGAAAAGUCUGAGAUUUGAGAAGAGACAACAAAAGGAACAUGAGGGAGCUCCUUAUCUGGUCAGCAGUUUCUACCCCCAACACUCCACGACUGAGUGUGUGUGUGAACAGCGGAGUGUCAAGUGAGCUGUGAGCCUUGAAGCCUGGAUGUCGACCUACUGCCAAUUAUAACAGAGGACAUGUGAAGACAUUACAAACUGUGUAUCCUGCAAACUGUUUAUUUGUGCUUUUAUAUUCUUUUAAACAGUAGUUUGUAAAUCAGUUGCUUUUUAGACUCAUGACAAAGUUUUGCUGGCAGCUCAGGAUAUUAUAAUUAACAGAUUUACAUUGAUCCCCUG
Thunnus maccoyii (southern bluefin tuna) is the source of this 471-nucleotide long non-coding RNA. RefSeq lists it as uncharacterized. Lineage: Eukaryota; Metazoa; Chordata; Actinopteri; Scombriformes; Scombridae. The transcript has 4 exons. The record is from RefSeq and is a predicted model, not a curated record.